UGCAGCUAUUGUAAAAAAGGUUAGAUUCUUGAUUCUCAGUUUGGUCAUUGUUGAUAUACAGCAGUGCUACUGAUUUGUGCAGAUUGAUUUUGUAUCCUGAAACUUUACUAAAUUUGUUUAUAAAAUCUGGGAGCUUUAUGGAUGAAUCUUUAGAGUUUUUCUAGGUAUAUGACCAUAUGAUUGGUGAACAGCGACGGUUUGACUUCCUCUUUACCAAUAUGGAUGCCUUUUAUUUCUUUUUUUUUUUUUUUGAGAUGGGGUCUUGCUGUCUCCCAGGCUGGAGUGCAGUGGCGCAAUCUCGGCUCACUGCAAG
Molecule: long non-coding RNA, 313 nt
Filed under: Homo sapiens (human)
Lineage: Eukaryota; Metazoa; Chordata; Mammalia; Primates; Hominidae
Description: HSALNT0241331
Source: RNAcentral